UUCCUUCGAGGGCACCCCUCAGUCUCUAUGAUAAUUUCUUCAUGUCUUGUCCAGGGGCCAGGGGGGCCUUGCUUAUAUAGUCCUCCCCUUCUAUGCGUUUUUGGGUCGAUAGGCGAGGUGGUACUAUGUUUUUCUUGAUCCAAUAGGUCGGUGGAAUGUCCGGAGCGAAGAGAGUACUGAUCUGGCUCCAGAGGGGGGCGGGCGCCCAGGUCCUCAGGGCGGGCGCCCUGGGCCUGGCCCCGUUUCGCCUCCGCUUCGGUCUCGUGGCUUCUGGAGUCUUCUAGAUGGUGUAAAAUUGCGCGGUGCGUUGAUAUCUCUAUGUAAUCCCGACAUGUGGGCCUUUCUUCCUUAUUUCCUGAUAACCCCCUGCAGAAACAGAUAAACAACAAAACUCGUGGAAUUCUGUCAGAUCAAACCCUAAUUCUAGGUGUUGGUUGCAUAUUGGUCCUUUCUCUUGUUUAUUUGAUAAUUAAAAUUGAUACUUAAGAACCGUCAACAAAUACCCCCAUACUUAGGCUUUUACUCGUCCUCGAGAAAAGGAUGGUUAAGAAAAAUAUCUGGGGUAAACAUUUUAAAAACAUUCUUUAUAUAAUUGCAGGGUGUUAAAAUUCCACUGUGUACCAUAGUCAGGGAAGUAUAUGGUUAAGAGUAAAGAUCCUUUCUUCUCAAUCCUAUCACUUGGAUUUUUUGUAUAUAUUUUUGAAAGAAAGUUAGCAUACCUUUUGAUCCUCAUAGGUUCUCUCAAAUCACUCAUUAUCUUUUAUAUAUAUAUCUCACUGAGGUUGUUUUAUUUUGCAAAAAUUCUCAAGCAUUCUUACUUUGCAUUUAUUGCCUCAUCAAAACGGGAUCCGAGGAGGGGAAUGUCAUACUCUUAGAUCAAAGACUUUGGAAAUUUAAAACUUUGUCAACUCUUGCUGGCAUAUUGCUUAUUAGAGGGACCAUGGGCUAUCAUUUUUUUUCUCUUUUCUCUUUUCUUCCUUUUUUUAAGUGGAUACCGAGGUACCCCUAAUUCUACUGCCGGACACUUGUCCAUUUUUUCUGCGAGGUUGUCGAGCACUUGCUCCUUUUUAUUUCCUCGAAAUAUCUCUAUUUUUGCAUAGCACAUGCCUCUAAUGCAAUAAUACUUCGGAAGAGUGAAUCUUACUGAAAUAAUGUCUUGAUCUUGGGAGCAUGAUAAAUCUCUCAACAAGGGUCUAACUCAUUUUGAACAAACUCAAUACAGAGUAGAUAGCUUUUAUAAUCAUAAUUAAUAUUUUUAGUUUUAUCAGGCAUAUAAAACAGUGAGGAUGGUAGCUAGAAUUUUGAAUAUUUUGAAAUAAAUUCUCCAAGCAACAAUGAUAUCAAGAUUAAGAAACUCAUACUCUACCAUUCCAUAUUGACUUACGUAACACAGGGUUUUAAAAUGAUUUUAUAAUAAUUGCAAUUUUUCAGGAAAUACCAUAGAUUGAGAUUAAUCAUGAUUAGAAAUAUUUUUAAUCUUUUCAUCUUAUCAUGUCGGAAACAAUAUUCUACAUAAUCCAAAAUAAAUGUAUGUGUAAAGUGUGCAGAGUGUGUACCUGAAUCGUGGAGUGAUGUAGUUGGAGUGUGUUUGGCAUGUCAAGGGAUCUCCCCCAUACUUGUUUUCUGCUUUCUUGCACAAAGAUAAAGUAGAGACACACAAGACAUAAUAAUAAUAAUAAUACUCUUUAUUAAUCUUGAGGCAUUUAUUACAAAAGACUGAUAGCAAACUAAUAAUAGCAAACUUAAACUGAAUUUAAAGAUAGAUGACUAAGAUGCAUUGCCUCAAGGUCUAAUCUAGAUAACUUAGCGGCGCUCUAAUUCUUUGAUCUUCUUGUUGGCACUGGCAAGAUCCUGCCUAAGGCCUA
RNAcentral lists this long non-coding RNA (1865 nucleotides) under Sorghum bicolor (sorghum). Its description in RNAcentral is "long non-coding RNA (SBIC_LNC005212)". Lineage: Eukaryota; Viridiplantae; Streptophyta; Magnoliopsida; Poales; Poaceae. The record is from RNAcentral.